CUGCCGGCUCUGGGAGGAAACGGGAACCAGCUCCCAACCUUGGGGUCUGCAGCCGGGGACCAAUGGUUUUCUCAAUAAUUUUCCUGCUUUUGAGUACAUAAUUCUAUGCAGAUGAUAAGCAGAUGAGUCGGGGAGGGGGGCAUUUCCCAGCUAACAAAGAGCUUUGUUAACGCUGGAGCCGUGUGCCCUUAAUCAUGUUUCGUUUUUUAGAAAGAGCCUUUUAUAGUGUGGGCGGAGCUAACUGAACCCUAGUUAAAAUCCUCUACAAAGUAGUUGAAUAAUUUUGCACAAGGCACUUACCCUCUUUGGACCUCUGGCCCUUUUUAUAACAUGAAGGGCUAGAUUCGGGUUCUGGGUGAGGGACUGGGAUAAAGGAACAAAUCAGAUUCCAUGUGAAGCCUGUGUACAGUCUGAGGCCCCAAGCCUUUUAAGAACCACUAUGUCUACUAGGGUUAACUGCCCUCUAAAUUGUCCUAAUAUGGCUUCUUAUUCCUUGAUGGAGAAUCCUAGAGGAAGGGUGUACCCACACUUUAGCUUAAAUAAAAAGGUAUUUAUUCCUAAAACUGACGGAGGGCGGGGAGGGAGCAUGACCAAGUCUCCCUCUGUCGCCCAGGCUGGAGUGCAGGGCGUGAUCUCAGCUCACUGCAACCUCCGCCUCCCAGGUUCAAGCAAUUCUCCUGCCUCAGCCUCCCGAGAAGCUGGGAUUACAGGCGCCCACCACCACGCCCGGCUAGUUUUUGUAUUUUUAGUAGAGACGGGGUUUCGCCCUGUUGGUCAGGCUGGUCUCGAACUCCUGGGUUCAACCGAUCCUCCUGCCUCGGCCUCUCAAAGUGCCGGGUUUACAGGCGUGAGCCACCCCUCCUGGCCCUAACAUUUUUAUACAAGUUUGCCAUCUCCGUACCACCACCACCACCACACACAGCACCCUCAAGACUCCCUGUGAUCCUGGGAUGCACUCAACGAAGAGUGUGUGGCCCAGGAUUUGAUGGAAAUGCUACAAGAGAAGCAGGCUCUCCCCUUCUGAAAUGAUGAGUGAUAAUGACCAUACAGGUCAACUUUUCCACCACUUGGAGGGAGCCUGUCAAAGAACAAAGGCAACAGAGAAGAGAGCAGAGCUGAGGUUGGGUGAGAGGGAGAAAUUCCUGAGUGCUUGAAUCCCACAUGCCGGAAGCCGCACCACACUUGGACUUCUCAAUACAGGAGCCACUCUGCAGGCAUUUAUUGGCAGGCUACACCUAAGACUUUCUCUGCAGAAAAAUGUUCUAGAUGCACAGAUUUGGGGGCUUGAUUGACAACCUGACACCUCACUCUAAAUCCGCAUGGGUCUGUUGACCUCAGCUGAGAAACCAAGUCAUGCUGAAGACCUGGAAAUCCCAGCAGGCUGCAAACCAGCUGCAACUACAAUGGGUCAGCCCUUUUGAGAUGCUGCUGACUACCCACUUAUCUGCCAAGUUAGCCAGUGUUAAGCCAUGGAUUCACCACGCUCAGAUAAAACCUGCCCCUCUGGGAUCCCUCCAGAAAAAAACAGGCAUGCUGUUGUGAACCCUAAGAUGGCCUUAAGUUAAUAUUCAAUGCCCAGCCAAAGACCCUAAAUAAGAAGUCAUAAAGGAAACAUGUGCUUUUCAGAGUCUCACUCUGUCACUCAGGCUGGAGUGCAGUGGUAUAAUCUCAGCUCACUGCAACCUCCACCUCUCAGGUUCAAGCAAUUCUCAUGCUUCAGCCUCCCAAGUAGCUAGGACUACAGGUGUGCACCACCAUGCCCAGGUAAUUUUUGUAUUUUUAAUAGAUACAGGGUUUCACCACGUUGCUCAGGCUGGUCUUGAACUCCUGACCUCAAGUGAGCCACAUCUGCCUCAGCCUCCCGGAGUGCUAGGAUUGCAGGUGUGAGCCACCACACCCAGCCAUGAAUCAGAAAUACUUUUUAAUAGGCUUAGGAUUGUUCUCUUGGAUUCCUUAAGGGAUCCACUUUAAUUCUUGGGUGUUUUUUUUUUUUUUAAUCAUGGUGCUCCAACAAGCGGGAUGCCAGUCAGGUAAUCCUGAGCACUUCAGAUUCAGGGGUGAUGUUUGCAUUUCCCAUCAUUAUCCCACAAUGCACCCCUUAGCAUUAAGUAGCCAAAAAGGCAGACAACCAUAUUCCCCAUGAUCGAAAAAUUGAUGAAUAGAAAAAAGGGGAUUAAAACCAGCCCAAUUGUCCCAUAGAAAUGAUAUUACGGUUUUUAAAAGAAACAUAAAAAUUAACCUUCCUGUUUUUAAAAUUUAAAACUUACAUUUAUCUCAUCUGAAUUCCUUCCUCAAAAAACAGACACUCAGGCAAAAACAAAAACCUAAAACUCAUCAGAUCACUGUAUCCAGACAGAGACGCCAGACCCCUCAUCCAUCAUGAUUGCUUCUAUACUCCUCCUUAAUUCCUAUUUUCCCACCUUUCCUGCUAUACAAAACCCCCAAUUUUAGUCGGUCAGACAAACACAUUUGAGACUUUAUCUCCUGUUCUCCUUGGCUGCAACACCCCGUUAAAGUUUUCUUCCCUGGCAAUAGUUACUGUCUCAGUGAUUGGCAUUCUGUGUAACAAGCAGCAGAACCUAGACUGGAACCCUGGUGUUUCAGUAACAUUACCUUGUAGUAAAUGCUGUUGUGUCAUGCCCAGAUUCACUUUACCAAGCCCAGAUCCCACAGAUUAAAGGGCUCAGCUCCACAAGACUUCAGACACCAGCCACAAAUGGGGUCCCCAGGUGACCCACACUUCUGCCCAGUGGACUAUAAAUUCAAGGGUUCUGUGACUUUCCCUACCCAGCUUUGAUAAUUCACUAGAAUCCUCACAGAACUCAGGAAAAUGCCAUACCUACUAUUACACUUUAUUAUGAUGGACACACACGAGCAGCCAGAUGGAGGGGUACUGAGGAAGCAUCUGAAUGCAGGAGGCUCUGUCCCUGGAGAGUUGGGAUGAGCCACUCUCCUGGAUGUGUUCACCAACUCAGAAGCUCUCCAAGCCCCAUUGUGUAGGGAUUUUUUAUGGCAGUUUCAGUAAGUACACAUGAUUGAUUAAAUCAUUGGCCAUUGGUGAUUGAACUCAAUCUCUAGCCCCUCUCCUGCUCUCAGAGGUGGAAGAGCAAGGCUGGAAGUUCUAACCUUCUCAGUACAUGGUUGGUUUUUCCUGUGUCCAGGUCCCAUCCUAAAGCUACCUAGGCCCCCUCUGCCCAACAAGAGUCUUCUCAUUAGCAAAAGAGUAAUUUCCAAGGGUGUUAGGAGCUCUAUGCUGGGAACCAGGGACCAAGAGUAAAUAUAUAUUUUGUAUUUUACCACAGGUACCAAUCACCCUCCAGAUCUAAGAAUGGCUUCAGGCUGGGGCUGCAGUCACCUCUUUGCCCAGCUUCUCCCCUGCCCUAUUCUGCUUCACUUGCAUCCUUAAAGGUUCCACCCAAGAGCUCUUCUACAAGAAAGCACCUAUAAAGCCAGACACAUUGGCUUAUGCCUAUAAUCCUAGCACUUUGGGAGGCCAAGGUAGGAGGAUGGCUUGAGGCCAGGAGUUCAAGACCAGCCUGGGCAACUUAGUGAGGCCCCGUCUCUAUAAAAAAUAAAAAAAUUAACCAGGUGUGGUGGUGCACGUCUCUAGUCUCAGCUACUCAGGAGGCUGUGGCAGGAAGAUGGCUUGAGCCCAGGAGGUUGAGGCUGCAGUGAACUAAGAUCAUGCCACUGCACCCAUCUUGGGCAACAGAAUGAGAUCCUGUCUCUAAAAAAAUAAAAACAAUUUACAACAGUAAGCACCUGUACACAAGCCCCAUCUCCAGUCCUGUUUCUAGGGCUUCCAAUUUAACACACCUAGAGGCUGGGCAUAGUAGCUCAUGCCUGUAAUCCCAAUACUUUGGGAGGCUGAGGCAAGUGAAGCACUUGAGGUCAGGAGUUCGAGACCAGCCUGGCCAACAUGGCAAAACCCCAUCUCUACUAAAAAUGCAAACAUUAGCUGGGCAUGGUGGCACAUGCCUGUAAUCCCAGCUACUCGGGAGGCUGAGACAGGAGAAUCACUUGAACCCAGGAGGUGGAGGUUACAGUGAGCCAAGAUCACACCACUGUACCACAGCCUGAGCAACGAAAGAAGACUCUGUCUAAAAAAAGUAAAAAAUAAAAUAAAACACACCUGGAGCUUUCUACAUCCCGUAGGUAUCUGUGUUUCUUUCUCGUGCCCUAUUUGACAGAGUUUCUUGAGCUCGAAUCUAUGUCUACUUUAUCUUAGCCUUCCUGUAACACCUGUCUCAAUGUCUUGCACAUAUAGAAUGCUCAGUAGAGUUUUUGGAAUAAGUAUUUCAUAUUUUGGAAUCAUUUACAGAGCAGGGGUUAAAUUCCUGGCUUAUUUUCUCUAGUUCUUAUUCUGCACCCCCUGCCCUGCAAACCUGCCACAUAAGCAGGUCAUUUCUCCACCCCUCAAGAUGAGGGCAAACAACUUCAGAAACUGCUCACAAACAGGCCCCUGUGGAAAUACCUCCAGGCCACUGGCAUUCCUGCCUGCUGCCAGAGACCUGGGAGGCUGUUCACUGCCUUGAGUAUUUUUGUUCUUUCCAACUUCUCUGCCCCAUCAAGUUAAACAGUCCUUAAGAGUAAAUAAAUGUGGC
RNAcentral lists this long non-coding RNA (4604 nucleotides) under Homo sapiens (human). RNAcentral's name for it is "HSALNT0369846". Lineage: Eukaryota; Metazoa; Chordata; Mammalia; Primates; Hominidae. The record is from RNAcentral.